This 497-nucleotide ribosomal RNA is filed under the name uncultured bacterium. RNAcentral's name for it is "partial 16S ribosomal RNA". It matches the Rfam family "Bacterial small subunit ribosomal RNA", at positions 28 to 507 of the family's 1533-position model. The record is from RNAcentral.
GAUGAACGCUGGCGGCGUGCCUAAUACAUGCAAGUCGAGCGAACGGACGAGAAGCUCGCUUCUCUGAUGUUAGCGGCGGACGGGUGAGUAACACGUGGAUAACCUACCUAUAAGACUGGGAUAACUUCGGGAAACCGUAGCUAAUACCGGAUAAUAUUUUGAACCGCAUGGUUCAAAAGUGACAGACGGUCCUGCUGUCACUUAUAGAUGGAUCCGCGCUGCAUUAGCUAGUUGGUAAGGUACCGGCUUACCAAGGCAACGAUGCAUAGCCGACCUGAGAGGGUGAUCGGCCAGACUGGAACUGAGACACGGUCAGAACUCCUAAGGGAGGCAGCAGUAGGGAAUCUUCCGCAAUGGGCGAAAGACUGACAGAGCAACGCCGCGUGAGUGAUGAAGGUCUUCGGAUCGUAAAACUCUGUUAUUAGGGAAGAACAGAUGUGAAAGUAACUGUGCAAAUCUUGACGGUAGCUAAUCAGGAAGCCACGGCUAACUACGUA